GCCCCCAUAGCUCAGCUGGAUAGAGCGGCUGGCUUCGAACCAGUAGGCCACAGGUUCAAAUCCUGUUGGGGGCG
Molecule: transfer RNA, 74 nt
Filed under: Elusimicrobiota bacterium
Lineage: Bacteria; Pseudomonadati; Elusimicrobiota
Description: Elusimicrobia bacterium (hot springs metagenome) tRNA-Arg
Rfam family: tRNA
About the family: Transfer RNA (tRNA) molecules are approximately 80 nucleotides in length. Their secondary structure includes four short double-helical elements and three loops (D, anti-codon, and T loops).
Source: RNAcentral